This 399-nucleotide ribosomal RNA is filed under the name uncultured bacterium. Its description in RNAcentral is "bacterial SSU rRNA". It matches the Rfam family "Bacterial small subunit ribosomal RNA", at positions 29 to 426 of the family's 1533-position model. The record is from RNAcentral.
AUUGAACGCUGGCGGCAUGCUUUACACAUGCAAGUCGAACGGCAGCACGGGCUUCGGCCUGGUGGCGAGUGGCGAACGGGUGAGUAAUGCAUCGGAACGUACCGUGUAAUGGGGGAUAACGUAGCGAAAGUUACGCUAAUACCGCAUACGCCCUGAGGGGGGAAAGUGGGGGACCGCAAGGCCUCACGUUAUACGAGCGGCCGAUGUCGGAUUAGCUAGUUGGUGGGGUAAAGGCCUACCAAGGCGACGAUCCGUAGCGGGUCUGAGAGGAUGAUCCGCCACACUGGGACUGAGACACGGCCCAGACUCCUACGGGAGGCAGCAGUGGGGAAUUUUGGGACAAUGGGCGCAAGCCUGAUCCAGCCAUGCCGCGUGAGUGAAGAAGGGCCUUCGGGUUGU